This 417-nucleotide ribosomal RNA is filed under the name Pseudocrangonyx yezonis. RNAcentral's name for it is "partial 16S ribosomal RNA". Lineage: Eukaryota; Metazoa; Arthropoda; Malacostraca; Amphipoda; Pseudocrangonyctidae. The record is from RNAcentral.
GUAGCAAAAUAAUUUGUUCUUUAAUUGGGAGUUGGUAUGAAAGGUUAUACAAAAAAUAUCUUUUAAGUUAAAUAAAGUAAUUUGAAUUUCAAGUUAAAAUGCUUGAAUAUUGUAAAGGGACGAUAAGACCCUAAAAGCUUUAAUUAUUUAUAAAUUAUUUAAAUUUAUUGUAAGUAGUAAUUUGAUAGUAAUAUUAGCUGGGGAAGUGGUUUUGAUAUUAAUCAAAAUUUUAAUCAACUUAUAUAUAGGAUAAUGAUCUUUUUAUAAAGAUAAAUAGAGAAAGUUACUUUAGGGAUAACAGCGCAAUGAUCUUGGAAAGUUCUUAUUUAUAGGAUUAUGUGCGACCUCGAUGUUGAAUUAAAUUAUCUUAAAGGAGUAGAAGAUUUAUAAGAGGGUUUGUUCAACCUUUAAAUUUUU